RNAcentral lists this ribosomal RNA (478 nucleotides) under uncultured bacterium. RNAcentral describes it as "partial 16S ribosomal RNA". It matches the Rfam family "Bacterial small subunit ribosomal RNA", at positions 28 to 507 of the family's 1533-position model. The record is from RNAcentral.
GAUGAACGCUGGCGGCGUGCUUAACACAUGCAAGUCGAACGGGAGAUAUUUCAUUGAGACUUCGGUGGAUUUGAUUUAUUUCUAGUGGCGGACGGGUGAGUAACGCGUGGGUAAACUGCCUUAUACAGGGGGAUAACAGUCAGAAAUGGCUGCUAAUACCGCAUAAGCUCACUGAGCUGCAUGGCUCAGUGUGGAAAACUCCGGUGGUAUAAGCUGGACCCGAGUUGGAUUAGCUAGUUGGAGGGGUAACGGACCACCAAGGCGCCGAUCCCUAGCCGGCCUGAGAGAGAGAACCGCCACAUUGGGGCUGGGACACGGCCCAGACUCCUCCGCAAUGGAGGAGAGGGGAAUAGAGCACCAUGGGGUGAACCCUGAUGCAGUUACGCCGCUUGAAGGAAGAAGUAUGGCGGUAUGAAAACUUCUAGUAGCAGUGAAGAUAGUGACGGUACCUGACUAGGAAGCCCCGGCUAACUACGUG